Molecule: ribosomal RNA, 1535 nt
Filed under: Enterobacter cloacae
Lineage: Bacteria; Pseudomonadati; Pseudomonadota; Gammaproteobacteria; Enterobacterales; Enterobacteriaceae
Description: bacterial SSU rRNA
Rfam family: Bacterial small subunit ribosomal RNA
Source: RNAcentral
CAUGGCUCAGAUUGAACGCUGGCGGCAGGCCUAACACAUGCAAGUCGAACGGUAACAGGAAGCAGCUUGCUGCUUUGCUGACGAGUGGCGGACGGGUGAGUAAUGUCUGGGAAACUGCCUGAUGGAGGGGGAUAACUACUGGAAACGGUAGCUAAUACCGCAUAACGUCGCAAGACCAAAGAGGGGGACCUUCGGGCCUCUUGCCAUCGGAUGUGCCCAGAUGGGAUUAGCUAGUAGGUGGGGUAACGGCUCACCUAGGCGACGAUCCCUAGCUGGUCUGAGAGGAUGACCAGCCACACUGGAACUGAGACACGGUCCAGACUCCUACGGGAGGCAGCAGUGGGGAAUAUUGCACAAUGGGCGCAAGCCUGAUGCAGCCAUGCCGCGUGUAUGAAGAAGGCCUUCGGGUUGUAAAGUACUUUCAGCGGGGAGGAAGGCGAUAAGGUUAAUAACCUUGUCGAUUGACGUUACCCGCAGAAGAAGCACCGGCUAACUCCGUGCCAGCAGCCGCGGUAAUACGGAGGGUGCAAGCGUUAAUCGGAAUUACUGGGCGUAAAGCGCACGCAGGCGGUCUGUCAAGUCGGAUGUGAAAUCCCCGGGCUCAACCUGGGAACUGCAUUCGAAACUGGCAGGCUAGAGUCUUGUAGAGGGGGGUAGAAUUCCAGGUGUAGCGGUGAAAUGCGUAGAGAUCUGGAGGAAUACCGGUGGCGAAGGCGGCCCCCUGGACAAAGACUGACGCUCAGGUGCGAAAGCGUGGGGAGCAAACAGGAUUAGAUACCCUGGUAGUCCACGCCGUAAACGAUGUCGACUUGGAGGUUGUGCCCUUGAGGCGUGGCUUCCGGAGCUAACGCGUUAAGUCGACCGCCUGGGGAGUACGGCCGCAAGGUUAAAACUCAAAUGAAUUGACGGGGGCCCGCACAAGCGGUGGAGCAUGUGGUUUAAUUCGAUGCAACGCGAAGAACCUUACCUACUCUUGACAUCCAGAGAACUUUCCAGAGAUGGAUUGGUGCCUUCGGGAACUCUGAGACAGGUGCUGCAUGGCUGUCGUCAGCUCGUGUUGUGAAAUGUUGGGUUAAGUCCCGCAACGAGCGCAACCCUUAUCCUUUGUUGCCAGCGGUUAGGCCGGGAACUCAAAGGAGACUGCCAGUGAUAAACUGGAGGAAGGUGGGGAUGACGUCAAGUCAUCAUGGCCCUUACGAGUAGGGCUACACACGUGCUACAAUGGCGCAUACAAAGAGAAGCGACCUCGCGAGAGCAAGCGGACCUCAUAAAGUGCGUCGUAGUCCGGAUUGGAGUCUGCAACUCGACUCCAUGAAGUCGGAAUCGCUAGUAAUCGUGGAUCAGAAUGCCACGGUGAAUACGUUCCCGGGCCUUGUACACACCGCCCGUCACACCAUGGGAGUGGGUUGCAAAAGAAGUAGGUAGCUUAACCUUCGGGAGGGCGCUUACCACUUUGUGAUUCAUGACUGGGGUGAAGUCGUAACAAGGUAACCGUAGGGGAACCUGCGGUUGGAUCACCUCCUUACCUUAAAGAA